CUACGGAGGGUGCGAGCGUUAAUCGGAAUUACUGAGCGUAAAGGGUGCGUAGGCGGCUUGAUAAGUCGGAUGUGAAAGCCCCGGGCUUAACCUGGGAAUUGCAUUCGAUACUGUCAGGCUAGAGUAUGUCAGAGGUUGGCGGAAUUCCUGGUGUAGCGGUGAAAUGCGUAGAUAUCAGGAGGAACACCAGUGGCGAAGGCGGCUAACUGGGGCAAUACUGACGCUGAGGCACGAAAGCGUGGGGAGCAAACAGGAUUAGAAACCCCAGUAGUCC
RNAcentral lists this ribosomal RNA (274 nucleotides) under uncultured bacterium. RNAcentral describes it as "partial 16S ribosomal RNA". It matches the Rfam family "Bacterial small subunit ribosomal RNA", at positions 523 to 796 of the family's 1533-position model. The record is from RNAcentral.